GCCAAGGUCCACAGUGAGCCCCAGGGCGAGCAGAACAGGUGGAGACAGAAGGGCUGACCGGGUGCCGGGGUCCAGGGGCCAGUUUUACGCCUGGAUACUAGUCUAUGCCAGCCUAGGGAAAAGGAAAGGACAUCUGGAAUUAAUUCUGAAGGUGACAGACGGGGAGCUCACGGACAGCGCGGAAAACGGGAUGAAGCCCCAGGCGGUUUCUGACGUCGCCCGGGUUCUCUGCCCCGCAAGGUGCAAG
RNAcentral lists this long non-coding RNA (247 nucleotides) under Felis catus (domestic cat). Its description in RNAcentral is "lncRNA (ENSFCAG00000044130.2)". The record is from RNAcentral. Lineage: Eukaryota; Metazoa; Chordata; Mammalia; Carnivora; Felidae.